RNAcentral lists this transfer RNA (77 nucleotides) under Nitrospinota bacterium. RNAcentral's name for it is "tRNA-Arg". It matches the Rfam family "tRNA". Rfam says of the family: Transfer RNA (tRNA) molecules are approximately 80 nucleotides in length. Their secondary structure includes four short double-helical elements and three loops (D, anti-codon, and T loops). Further hydrogen bonds mediate the characteristic L-shaped molecular structure. tRNAs have two regions of fundamental functional importance: the anti-codon, which is responsible for specific mRNA codon recognition, and the 3' end, to which the tRNAs corresponding amino acid is attached (by aminoacyl-tRNA synthetases). tRNAs cope with the degeneracy of the genetic code in two manners: having more than one tRNA (with a specific anti-codon) for a particular amino acid; and 'wobble' base-pairing, i.e. permitting non-standard base-pairing at the 3rd anti-codon position. The record is from RNAcentral. Lineage: Bacteria; Pseudomonadati; Nitrospinota.
GCGCCCGUAGCUCAGCCGGAUAGAGCAACGGACUUCUAAUCCGUAGGUCGCAGGUUCGAAUCCUGCCGGGCGUACCA